This 3408-nucleotide small RNA is filed under the name Pongo abelii (Sumatran orangutan). Its description in RNAcentral is "processed transcript". The record is from RNAcentral. Lineage: Eukaryota; Metazoa; Chordata; Mammalia; Primates; Hominidae.
GGCUUCCGGCGGAGGGCUGGGUAGUAGCUCGCAGCCGUCAUGGCAGCGGAGGAGAAGGACCCUCUGAGCUAUUUCGCGGCAUACGGGAGCAGCAGCUCAGGCUCCUCGGACGAGGAGGAUAACAUCGAGCCGGAGGAGACAAGUCGCAGAACCCCGGAUCCGGCGAAGUCGUCGGGCGGCUGUAGGAACAAGGCGGAGAAGCGGCUCCCGGGACCCGACGAGCUGUUUAGGAGCGUGACUCGCCCGGCCUUUCUCUACAAUCCGCUCAACAAGCAGAUAGACUGGGAGAGGCACGUCGUCAAGGCGCCUGAGGAGCUUCUCCCUGAGACCCCUUCCCUUUGACGCCGAAGUGCCUGCGGUGCUGCCUCCAAGACAGUGUCUGCUGCAGCUUCCUGAAGGGGUCAGCCUUGGCGUAGUAUCUCUGAGACUGGAUUCUUCUUUGCCUCCAAAGGAAUUCAAAAUAUGGAAGUCAAAUUAUGUACCACCUCCUGAGACCUACACCACUGAGAAGAAGCCUCCGCCUCCAGAGCUUGACAUGGCAAUAAAAUGGUCUAACAUAUAUGAGGACAAUGGUGAUGAUGCUCCACAGAAUGCUAAGAAAGCUAGGCUUCUACCAGAAGGGGAGGAGACGUUGGAAUCAGAUGAUGAAAAAGAUGAGCAUACUUCUAAAAAGCGCAAAGUAGAGCCAGGAGAACCAGCAAAGAAGAAAAAGUAGAAACAAAUGACCAGAAUUUCUGUACUGCUAAACUUGUUGAAAUGUUUCUUUGGACAGAUUAAGUUGAUAUUGUGGGUUAUUAUGCCACAUCUCCAUGAAAGUGCAUACAUUAAUGAACUAAUAAGUAUUGCCUCAAGAAAUUUCCACUAUAAAAUUCUUUUUUUAUUUAAAACAUGUAUGUAUUUAAAACUCAACUGGUGACUUGUGAUUGUGAAAUUGAUAACACUUGGAUGCAUUCUUGCUCUCACAGAAUUGGUGACAUGCUUUGAGUUUUGUCACAUGUUGACAUGCCAAUGUUCUAUAAACCUUUUAUAAAGGAAUAUAUUUUUAAAGUAAAUAUAUUGUAAUGUACUGUGAACUUGUAGGGUGCUUUUCAACAGUCUUUGUACAGUGUAAAUAGAUCAUGGAAAUAAAAUUACUUAUUCAAUAUUACUAUUACUGUAUAACAUUAACAUUUGAAUGUUUGUCUGUGACAAGUACCCUAUUUGUCGUGUGACAUUUUAAGUUGUAAUAAGAAGUAUUACCAUUUUAAGUUGUAAUAAGAAGUAUUACCAUUUUAAGUUGUAAUAAGAAGUAUUACCAUUUAAAGAGUGCCUCCUGUGUUCCAGGUGCUUUGUGCAUAUAUUUUCUCUGAUCCUUAAACAACCUAGCAAGGUAUUAUUAGUAUUCUCAUUUUAUAAUAAAGAGUGCUUGAGUAGCUUGUCUAAUGUUACACAGCUAGUGAGUGAUUCAUUUGGAAUUUAACUUGGAACACUUGAACUUCAAAAUCAUCACAUUAAACCACCUGUCCACCAGUCAAAAUUUAGUCAUCUUUCAAGAAUGACAUCAGUUGUCAUCUCUUCCAGGUACUUUUCUGUUGUACCUGGAUAUCUGUUAGUGGAGAUCUUUUCCUCUCCUGAUUGUAUGAGUGUACUUGUCAUCUGUGCUUUAUGGUUAUUCAUUAAUUUCUUUAUUAAAUUGUAAGUUUACAGGACAUUCAGUUAAAUUUGAAUUUCAGAUAAAUAAUGUUUUAGUAUAUUUAAUAUUCAGGACAUAUACAAAAAGUGUGUUUAUCUGAAAUUCAAAUUUAACUGAACAUCUUUUAUCUGGUAACCCUAACUUCUACAUGUUUUCUCUACCCAGCUUCUAUUUUAAUGCUUUGCGUAUAGUAAUAAUAAAAUGAACAAGAAGUAGUUGGGAAGGUGUGAUCUUUGAGUUCCAAAAUGCAGUUAUUUGUAGCAUUUUGAACAAUAAAAAGGUUACACUCUGCAUCAAUCUUUCCAUGAAUCUCAAGCCCUUAAGAGAUAAGAAUUACAGAACAGUGCACAUUCAGUGUAUAAGAACAAGACAGCCAAGCAUGGUGGCUUAUGCUUGUAAUCCCAGCACUUUGGGAGGCCGAGGUGGGAGGAUAGCUUGAGGCCAAGAGUUGGAGACCAGCCUAGACAACAUGACAAGACCCCCAUCUCUACAAAAAAUAAUUUAGAAAGAAAAAGACAUAAUCUGACUAUUUUUUUAAAUCUGUUUUUCCACAUUGUGGAAGAUAAAAUUUGAACAACUAUGCGAGAUUUGUUUACUUAGGCAUGUGUAUCAAGUAGAUUAAAAUUUAUAAAAGUCAUUAAGAGUGAUUGCAUCAGCCAUGGUGCUUUGUGGAGUGAAGGUCCAUAACAGCAUGAUGGCUUCCAGUAUAUCUCGAGUUUAGAAAAACCAAUUCUAUAGCUGCCCAUCCUCUAGGUUUGCAAAUAUAUGAAUCCCAAAAUUGAAGUAAUUGCUAAAGCAAGAAUAUGUUUUUUUAAGAUUGUAGUCUUUGUAAUGAAUUUGGAAAUCUGUGGUAUCAUAUACUAAGGAGUGGCAUCAAGUGAUAAAGCAAGACCAUAGUAUGACAUGACACCAAAUACAACCAAAUCAAGUUAUAUUUGUGAAGUUGUGAUUCCCAAGCUCUGGAGAAAUCUAAAAUUUGGAUGCAUGUGUUGGUGGAGCAAAUAUCUCAGAAGUUACUGAAAUAUUGCAAGGUUCUUAAGUUAGCAUGAAAGCAAACUUUUUUCUCUCUUUCCUGGGAGAUGUGCAGAGUAUGUUUUAUGAGGAGGAAGACAGGACUUAGGAGGGAAGAGUCUAAAUAUUUUGGAGGAAGUCUGACUCAGCCAUUUGUAUCUCCUGGUUGGAAAAUGGACUGUCAUAUCACUCUACAUUCAUCAUCACAUUAGAGAAUAGAUUAUUUUCCCCUUUAGAGAUGUCCUGGGAACGUGUUUGCACAAGUGUCCAUGUGGGUACAGAGGUGAAGUUUGGUUGAGCUAGUGGAAACCUAGUGGGGAAAACUCUUAAAAAUCCAUAUACGUAAGAAAAAUCAUCUGUCCAAGUAUCUUUCAUUUUAGAGAAUCGAGUUACUUGAUACUUCUGGUCGUUUCCUCUACUUUAAGGAAGUUAAGCCUGGGCAACAUGUUGAGAUCCUGAUCUGGUUUGGCUGUGUCCCCAACCAAAUCUCACUUGAAUUGUAAUUCCCACAAUUCCCACGUGUCAUGGGUGGUGACUGAAUUAUGGGGGUAGGUCUGUUCUUAUGAUACUGAAUGAGUCUUAUGAGAGCUGAUGGUUUUAAAAACCAUCAGUGCAGGGAGUUGCCCUGCACAUAAGAUGUGUCUUGCUCCUCCUUGCCUUCUGCCAUGAUUGUGAGGCUUCCCCAGCCAUGUGGAACUGUAAGUCCAAUUAAACUCUUUUGCAAA